AGAAUCAACGCUGGCGGCGUGCCUAACACAUGCAAGUCGAACGAGAAGGUGGAGCAAUCCAUGAGUAAAGUGGCGACCGGGUGAGUAACACGUGACUAACCUACCUUCGAGUGGGGGAUAACCUCGGGAAACCGGGGCUAAUACCGCAUAAUAUCCACGGAUCAAAGGAGCAAUUCGCUUGAAGAGGGGUCGCGGCUGAUUAGUUAGUUGGCGGGGUAAUGGCCCACCAAGACAAUGAUCGGUA
Molecule: ribosomal RNA, 244 nt
Filed under: uncultured bacterium
Lineage: Bacteria
Description: partial small subunit ribosomal RNA
Rfam family: Bacterial small subunit ribosomal RNA
Source: RNAcentral